GGCCUCGUAACUCAGCUGGUAGAGCAUGCGCGUACAAAGCGUAGGCGGUGUCCAUGCGUGGGUUCGAAUCCCACCGAGGCUA
Molecule: non-coding RNA, 82 nt
Organism: Echinostoma caproni
Lineage: Eukaryota; Metazoa; Platyhelminthes; Trematoda; Plagiorchiida; Echinostomatidae
Source: Rfam